Molecule: ribosomal RNA, 498 nt
Filed under: uncultured bacterium
Lineage: Bacteria
Description: partial 16S ribosomal RNA
Rfam family: Bacterial small subunit ribosomal RNA
Source: RNAcentral
GACGAACGCUGGCGGCGUGCCUAAUACAUGCAAGUCGAGCGGACGGAUGGGAGCUUGCUCCCAGACCGUCAGCGGCGGACGGGUGAGUAACACGUGGGCAACCUGCCUGUAAGACUGGGAUAACUCCGGGAAACCGGGGCUAAUACCGGAUAACUCUUUCCCUCACAUGAGGGAAAGCUGAAAGAUGGCAUCUCGCUAUCACUUACAGAUGGGCCCGCGGCGCAUUAGCUAGUUGGUGAGGUAACGGCUCACCAAGGCGACGAUGCGUAGCCGACCUGAGGGGGUGAUCGGCCACACUGGGACUGAGACACGGCCCAGACUCCUACGGGAGGCAGCAGUAGGGAAUCUUCCGCAAUGGACGAAAGUCUGACGGAGCAACGCCGCGUGAGUGAUGAAGGUUUUCGGAUCGUAAAACUCUGUUGUCAGGGAAGAACAAGUACCGGAGUAACUGCCGGUACCUUGACGGUACCUGACCAGAAAGCCACGGCUAACUACGUG